RNAcentral lists this ribosomal RNA (819 nucleotides) under Streptomyces sp. TOB3-16_Pa. RNAcentral describes it as "bacterial SSU rRNA". It matches the Rfam family "Bacterial small subunit ribosomal RNA", at positions 57 to 893 of the family's 1533-position model. Lineage: Bacteria; Bacillati; Actinomycetota; Actinomycetes; Kitasatosporales; Streptomycetaceae. The record is from RNAcentral.
GCAAGUCGAACGAUGAAGCCUUCGGGUGGAUUAGUGGCGAACGGGUGAGUAACACGUGGGCAAUCUGCCCUGCACUCUGGGACAAGCCCUGGAAACGGGGUCUAAUACCGGAUAAUACUGUGCCCCUCAUGGGGGAUGGUUGAAAGCUCCGGCGGUGCAGGAUGAGCCCGCGGCCUAUCAGCUUGUUGGUGGGGUAAUGGCCUACCAAGGCGACGACGGGUAGCCGGCCUGAGAGGGCGACCGGCCACACUGGGACUGAGACACGGCCCAGACUCCUACGGGAGGCAGCAGUGGGGAAUAUUGCACAAUGGGCGAAAGCCUGAUGCAGCGACGCCGCGUGAGGGAUGACGGCCUUCGGGUUGUAAACCUCUUUCAGCAGGGAAGAAGCGAAAGUGACGGUACCUGCAGAAGAAGCGCCGGCUAACUACGUGCCAGCAGCCGCGGUAAUACGUAGGGCGCAAGCGUUGUCCGGAAUUAUUGGGCGUAAAGAGCUCGUAGGCGGUCUGUCACGUCGGGUGUGAAAGCCCGGGGCUUAACCCCGGGUCUGCAUUCGAUACGGGCAGACUAGAGUGUGGUAGGGGAGAUCGGAAUUCCUGGUGUAGCGGUGAAAUGCGCAGAUAUCAGGAGGAACACCGGUGGCGAAGGCGGAUCUCUGGGCCAUUACUGACGCUGAGGAGCGAAAGCGUGGGGAGCGAACAGGAUUAGAUACCCUGGUAGUCCACGCCGUAAACGUUGGGAACUAGGUGUUGGCGACAUUCCACGUCGUCGGUGCCGCAGCUAACGCAUUAAGUUCCCCGCCUGGGGAGUACGGCCGCAAGG